CAAUAGCGUAUAUUAAAGUUGUUGCAGUUAGAACGCUCGUAGUCGGAUUUCGGGGCGGGCUGACCGGUCUGCCGAUGGGUACGCACUGGUCGGCGCGUCCUUCCUUCCGGAGACCGUGCCUACUCUUAACUGAGCGGGGGCGGGAGACGGAUCGUUUACUUUGAAAAAAUCAGAGUGUUUCAAGCAGGCAGCUCGCUCUUGCAUGGAUUAGCAUGGGAUAAUGAAAUAGGACUUUGGUGCUAUUUUGUUGGUUUCGAACACCGAAGUAAUGAUUAAAAGGGACAGUCAGGGGCACUCGUAUUCCGCCGAGAGAGGUGAAAUUCUCAGACCAGCGGAAGACGAACUACUGCGAAAGCAUUUGCCAGGGAUGUUUUCACUGA
Molecule: ribosomal RNA, 380 nt
Filed under: uncultured eukaryote
Lineage: Eukaryota
Description: partial 18S ribosomal RNA
Rfam family: Eukaryotic small subunit ribosomal RNA
Source: RNAcentral